CUUAAGAGUCCUCAGCAUGCUUUCUGGCAGGGUGCGGACAGAAGUACGUGAGAUGUCCCUGUAAUGACAGCAGCCAUUUCAGUGUCUAGCAGGACUGGAUGCAUGGCUCGACGAGCUCGUGCAUCAUCACCCCUCUUCACUCCUGGAAGCGUGUGAUUUGAUGGGACGGCUUGCCAUCCCGUCCUCUGGUUGGAAAUCGUCCAACUGCAGUUACAGGGCCAUCUCAUCAAAGGACAACAGCGGAAGCAUACAGAGCCCCUGCUGGACUGUGUGCCCAAGAUGAGUGAUCGCCUCGGCAUAAACUCUCCCCAGACAGAGCACAGCAAUCAUACAGUGGCUGGGACACCUGUAACAAGCUAAUGACAAUAUGGAAACAAAACUUGUAGUGAGGUUGACAAAUGAAUGUGGCUGGGUGCAGCCAAAAAAGGGAAGACUUAGAUCAGAUAUUAUCAGAUAUUAAAACAGUUGUUACACACUAAGUAAAUGGAAAGUAUAAGGAACAAAAACAUGCAGAAAUU
Molecule: long non-coding RNA, 518 nt
Organism: Puntigrus tetrazona (Sumatra barb)
Lineage: Eukaryota; Metazoa; Chordata; Actinopteri; Cypriniformes; Cyprinidae
Exons: 3
Source: RefSeq, a predicted model, not a curated record